Molecule: ribosomal RNA, 777 nt
Filed under: uncultured bacterium
Lineage: Bacteria
Description: bacterial SSU rRNA
Rfam family: Bacterial small subunit ribosomal RNA
Source: RNAcentral
UUAGAUCCUGGCUCAGAUUGAACGCUAGCGGCAUGCUUUACACAUGCAAGUCGAACGGCAGCGCGGGGCAACCUGGCGGCGAGUGGCGAACGGGUGAGUAAUACAUCGGAACGUGCCCUGUGAUGGGGGAUAACUACGCGAAAGCGUAGCUAAUACCGCAUACGACCUACGGGUGAAAGUGGGGGAUCGCAAGACCUCACGUCAUAGGAGCGGCCGAUGGCGGAUUAGCUAGUUGGUAAGGUAAAGGCUUACCAAGGCAACGAUCCGUAGCUGGUCUGAGAGGACGACCAGCCACACUGGGACUGAGACACGGCCCAGACUCCUACGGGAGGCAGCAGUGGGGAAUCUUGGACAAUGGGGGCAACCCUGAUCCAGCAAUGCCGCGUGUGGGAUGAAGGCCUUCGGGUUGUAAACCACUUUUGGCGGGGGCGAAAUAUCGAGUGCUAAUACCAUUCGGUGAUGACGGUACCCGCAGAAUAAGCACCGGCUAACUACGUGCCAGCAGCCGCGGUAAUACGUAGGGUGCAAGCGUUAAUCGGAAUUACUGGGCGUAAAGCGUGCGCAGGCGGUUAGGUAAGACAGAUGUGAAAUUCCCGGGCUCAACCUGGGAACUGCAUUUGUGACUGCCUGACUAGAGUGCGGCAGAGGGGAGUGGAAUUCCGCGUGUAGCAGUGAAAUGCGUAGAUAUGCGGAGGAACACCGAUGGCGAAGGCAACUCCUUGGGUCUGCACUGACGCUCAUGCACGAAAGCGUGGGGAGCAACAGGAUAGAUACCCU